UGCUGCCUCGUGAAGAAAGUGUCUGCUUUUCCUUUGCCUUCCGCCAUGAUUGUAGGUUUCCUGAGACCUCCCCAGCCUUUCAGAAGUGGAUCACAUCAGAAGAUAUCUUGAAACAGCCAGCUGCUUGUACCUGUAAUUAACCUUAGAAUCAUUGAAUGCCACAGCGGCACAUGCAUGCUGACAGAUUCCUUGUACGAGCCACAUCACACGCAAAGACACAGUUUUUCCAAAGGAGAAACUCUUGAUACAUUCCUGAAGAUAGCAAGAAUGGGUGAAGAUGACUAUCAUGAACUUGGACUUGAUUCACUGAAGGUGGCCUCUAUUCAUUUCUAUCAGAUUUUGCUUCAAAAAUUUUGCACCUUUGUUACUAGGUACAUAAACAUCUGAGGUGUUUAUUGGAGCUCUUUUCCUAGAACUGAUAAUUGGAUUCAAGGUAUUCUGGAGAACAAGAACUCUACCUAGAGGAAAACAGACGAGUGAAUUGACCUCUAGACAUUUUUUUUUCUGCUGAAACCGAAACAGGCUGAGGAAGAAUAAGAGACUUGCUAGAGAAGUGACCCAUUUUAAAGAUUAACGAAAAUGAAGAUUGCCUCUAGAAUGAAAAUAAGUAUCUCUGCAAAAUCAGGCCAGGGACAUGGAUGAAGCUGGAAACCAUCAUUCUCAGCAAACUAUCACAAGGACAAAAAUCCAAACACCGCAUGUUCUCACUCAUAGGUGGGAAUUGAACAAUGAGAACACAUGGACACAGGAAGGGGAACA
Pongo pygmaeus (Bornean orangutan) is the source of this 759-nucleotide long non-coding RNA. RefSeq lists it as uncharacterized. The transcript is spliced from 9 exons. The record is from RefSeq and is a predicted model, not a curated record. Lineage: Eukaryota; Metazoa; Chordata; Mammalia; Primates; Hominidae.